RNAcentral lists this ribosomal RNA (496 nucleotides) under uncultured bacterium. RNAcentral describes it as "partial 16S ribosomal RNA". It matches the Rfam family "Bacterial small subunit ribosomal RNA", at positions 29 to 507 of the family's 1533-position model. The record is from RNAcentral.
AUGAACGCUGGCGGCGUGCCUAAUACAUGCAAGUCGAGCGAACAGACGAGGAGCUUGCUCCUCUGACGUUAGCGGCGGACGGGUGAGUAACACGUGGAUAACCUACCUAUAAGACUGGGAUAACUUCGGGAAACCGGAGCUAAUACCGGAUAAUAUAUUGAACCGCAUGGUUCAAUAGUGAAAGACGGUUUUGCUGUCUCUUAUAGAUGGAUCCGCGCCGCAUUAGCUAGUUGGUAAGGUAACGGCUUACCAAGGCAACGAUGCGUAGCCGACCUGAGAGGGUGAUCGGCCACACUGGAACUGAGACACGGUCCAGACUCCUACGGGAGGCAGCAGUAGGGAAUCUUCCGCAAUGGGCGAAAGCCUGACGGAGCAACGCCGCGUGAGUGAUGAAGGUCUUCGGAUCGUAAAACUCUGUUAUUAGGGAAGAACAAAUGUGUAAGUAACUAUGCACGUCUUGACGGUACCUAAUCAGAAAGCCACGGCUAACUACGUG